CAUUAAGAAGCUAUGUAUAAGCGCUAGCCUUUUAAGCUAAAGAUAGGGGACCCAACACCCCCUUAAUGA
This 69-nucleotide transfer RNA is filed under the name Taenioptynx brodiei brodiei. RNAcentral describes it as "Glaucidium brodiei brodiei tRNA-Lys". It matches the Rfam family "tRNA". From Rfam's summary of the family: Transfer RNA (tRNA) molecules are approximately 80 nucleotides in length. Their secondary structure includes four short double-helical elements and three loops (D, anti-codon, and T loops). Lineage: Eukaryota; Metazoa; Chordata; Aves; Strigiformes; Strigidae. The record is from RNAcentral.